GAUGAACGCUGGCGGCGUGCCUAAUACAUGCAAGUCGAGCGAACAGACGAGGAGCUUGCUCCUCUGACGUUAGCGGCGGACGGGUGAGUAACACGUGGAUAACCUACCUAUAAGACUGGGAUAACUUCGGGAAACCGGAGCUAAUACCGGAUAAUAUAUUGAACCGCAUGGUUCAAUAGUGAAAGACGGUUUUGCUGUCACUUAUAGAUGGAUCCGCGCCGCAUUGGCUAGUUGGUAAGGUAACGGCUUACCAAGGCAACGAUGCGUAGCCGACUUGAGAGGGUGAUCGGCCACACUGGAACUGAGACACGGUCCAGACUCCUACGGGAGGCAGCAGUAGGGAAUCUUCCGCAAUGGGCGAAAGCCUGACGGAGAAACGCAGCGUGAGUGAUGAAGGUCUUCGGAUCGUAAAGCUCUGUUAUUAGGGAAGAACAAAUGUGUAAGUAACUAUGCACGUCUUGAGGGUACCUAAUCAGAAAGCCACGGCUAACUACGUG
Molecule: ribosomal RNA, 497 nt
Filed under: uncultured bacterium
Lineage: Bacteria
Description: partial 16S ribosomal RNA
Rfam family: Bacterial small subunit ribosomal RNA
Source: RNAcentral